UACAACAAAACAAAAUACUAUCUGGUCCUGCAUCAUCCUCACAUGGCAUGCAUGGUGUCUUAGUCAUCUAGUGGUGCCAUAACAGAAAUACCACAAGUGGAUGGCUUUAACAAAGAGAAAUUAAUUUUCUCGCAGUCUAGUAGGUUACAAGUCCAAAUUCAGGGCAUCAACUCCAGGGGAAGGCUUUCUCUCUCUGUCGGCUCUAGAGGAAGGUCCUUGUCCUCAAUCUUCCCCUGGUCAAGGAGCAUCUCAGCACAGGAACCUGAGGUCCAAUGGAUGCACUCUGCUCCUGGCACUACUUUCUUGGUGGUAUGAGGUCCCCAACUCUGUGCUUGCUUCCCUUUCCUUUUAUCUCUUGAGGGAUAAAAGGUGAUGCAGGCCACACUCCAGAGAAACUCCCUUUACCUUGGAUCAGGGAGUAAGGGUAGUGUUAUAAUCCCACCCUAAUCCUCUCAACAUAAAAUUACAAUCACAAAAUGGAAUUCAAACACACAAUGCUGGGAAUCAUGGCCUAACCAAGCUGACACAUAUUUUGGGGGAACACAAUUCAAUCCAUUAUACUUGAGAAAAGGGAAAGAGCUAAGAAGAAAGGACCUUUGUUCAGGCCAUAUGGCCUGGUCACCUUAUUAUCAGGGGAUGUCCUUUGUUCAGGUGCACACAACAUAGCCAUCCUUUGAGCAAGGUGCAUAACCAGAAAGAACAUUUUUCCCCCUUUAGCUGCAAGAUUAAUUUUGUAAGACUGCAUUUUCUGAUUAAUGAUGCAGUGGAUUAGAAAAACACUGAAGGGUCAGUUCCCCAUGGGACACACUCCUUUCUUUCUUUUGUAAAUAUUUUAUUGUGUUUUUGCUGAAGGUUUAUGUAGCAGUUAGGGCUCUCGUUCAACAAUUCCUACACAAGUUGUUCUUUGACAUUGGUUACAUUCUUCACAAUGCCUGAACAUUCUCAUUAUUUCUGUUCUGGUUGAUUCAUUUCCUUUAAUCUAGUUUCCCUGCCCCCUUACAUUCUUAUCUUUGUUUUAAAGUAAUUAUUUACCACUUAGUCUCAGAUAGGUGAUUUUUUUAAAUGAGCACAGUACUUAUGGGUUACAGUCAUUACUUUUUGAGCCAAUUUGUUAUUUAGCUACAAGGUGACCUCAGGGGUUAGUUCCAGCUCAAGGUUUGAAGAGUAUCUUGCAGCAAUAAUCUCGAGGAGUCCUGCAGUCUCAACCAGCCCAAAAUGUCAGUUUUGUUUUGUUUUGUGUUUGUUUAGGAAUUUGAAGUCCUGUUCCACAUUAUUCUCCCAUUCUAUUAGGAUCCAUCUGUUGUGGCCCAUGGGGCACAUUCUUUGAUAUUAUCGUAGUCAUGGAGAUGGUGAGGUUACAUAGGUGUCAUAUGGUGCCUGCACAUGAGUAAGAGACAGAGAAAGUUACUGUGAGCCCAUAAGAAGAAGGAAGGCUUCUCUGAUAAGGGGAAGGGACUGAGAGAAAGAACCAAUUCCCAACCUCCUUAUUAGAGAAUAUUCUGGGCCCAAGGCUUCAGCUUAGGCAGCCCAGAUGGGAAUUGUAGAGGCAGGCUGUCCUCCUAACAUUCCCUAAUAAAGUUCAAGUCUAUCAGCCCCCUCCACACAAGAGAAACUUACCAAACAGGAAUAUGGGUGGGGGUGGAAUGAGUUGUUACUUUUCUGCCAGUUCUGAAAGCCACAGCAAAGACACAGCUACAACAGUACAGUGGAGAAGAAGGAAAUAGACAAAGACCUUGGACUUGUUAAUCUAAGGCUUUGAAUAGCCUUUCCCUUCAGAAGUAUCAACCCCACCCCCUUCCCACUCCUGAACUCUGCUCUCUCUCCCCAGAGUCCUUCCAUCCCUAUUUAUCCAGUCAUCCUCAAAAUCCAGACCAUUAUAUGAAAAAUUCUCCUACUAAAGGUCAGAAAAGAUGUAUAGUAGGGCCGGAAGAGACUACUGAUCAAAGAGUAUCUUUAACAUUUUCUAAACAACAAUACAAUGUAAUGCCCUAGAUUGAGAACUUGUCUUUGAGUCCAAUCUCCAAUCCAUUCAUUCACUUCCUGUGAAGCUAGGACAAUCCCAUGGCCUUCAGUGAGCCUCCCUGUCACCUCCUGUUAAAAACAGUGAUAGAAAUCCAUGCCUGCUGAUCUCAUGUGGUUGUUGCAAAUAGCAACAUUAUAUGCAAGCCCCAAAGGCUUUAAAAAUCAUAUGACACAUACUUCCCAAGUGUCUCUGUCUACCAAGGGUUCUUGCAGUUUGGCUGAGCCUAAGCAGAAAAGCAUUAUGGAUCUUCCACAGCAGGGAGAAUGGCUCAGUCCAGGUGACAGGUCCUACUUCCAGCCCAGGGAAUGUGGAAAUCACUGAAGCCAGCCAGGACCCACUGCAGAGCAUGGAGGGGGCAGGACUAAAUCUACAAGACUGGGUUGUGUGAUAAGCCAAUCUCUUUUGAGAUAUAAAAGAGAGAAAUGAGUAGAGAGGCAUGGGGACUUCAUACCACCAAUAAACAAGAGCCAGGAGAAAAGCAUAUCCUUUGGGCCUGAGGUCCCCAUGCUGAGAAGCUCAUCUACUGGGGAAGAUUGACUACAAGUACCUGCCCCCAGAGCCAACGGAGAGAAAAAGCCUUCUCCUGGAGCUGGUGCCCUGAAUUCAGACUUCUAGUCUCCUAGACUGUGAGAGAAUAAACAUCUGUUUGUUGAAGCCAUCCACUUGUGGUUUUUCUGUUAUAGCAACACUAGAUAACUAAGAGUUAUGUUUUCAGUUUCAUUUGACUCUAAGUAUUUUCUGAUUUCAUUUUUGAUUUCUACCUUGAACCAUUGGUUGUUUAAUGGUAGUGUGCUGUUUAAUUUCCACUUUUAUGUAUUUUCCAGGGUUUUUUUUUUCUGUUAUUGGCUUCUAGUUUCACUCCACUGUGCUCAGACAAAAUAUAUUGCAUGAUUUCAAAAUUUUCAAAUUUAUCAAGACUUGCUUUAUAAGUUAACAUGCGGCCUAUCUUGGAGAAUGAUCCAUGUGCCUGGAGUAGAAUGUAUAUUGUGCUGUUGUUGGGUGAAGUAGUCUAUAUAUGUCUCUCAUGUCUAGCAGGUUUAUAGUGUCAUUCAGGUUCUCUGUUCCUUGCUGAUCUCCUUUCUAAAUGUUCUUUCUAAUAUUGAAAGUGGUGUAUUGAAGUCUCCACUAUUUCUCCCUUCAAUUCUAUCAGUGUUUUCUUUAUAUAUUUAGGUGCUGUGAUGUUGGAGCCCUAGUGGCAUAGUGGUUAAGAGCUCAGCUGCUAACCAAAAGGUCGGUAGUUCAAAUCCAUCAGAUUCUCCUUGGAAACCCUAUAGGGCAGUUCUGUCCUAUAGGAUGGCUAUGAGUCAGAACUGACUCGAUGGCACCUAACAACAACUGAUGUUGGGUGCAUAUGUAUUCAUAAUUAUUAAACUUUCUUGAUGAAUUUACCCUUUUAUCAUUAAUGUCUUAGACUGGGUUCUCUAUAGAAGCAAAACCAGUGAAGCAUAUGUAUGUAUAUAUAUAUAGACAGAGAGAGAGAGAUUUAUCUCAAGGAAAUCAUGCAGUUGUAGAGGCUAGAGGCUUCUCCUGACUCACACAGCUGCAGGGACUGGCAAACCUAACAUCAUGUUCAUGGGCUGUGGAGGCUGAUGAAUCAAAGAUCAGCAGGUAAGACAGCAGGUUGCUGGCACACAAGCUGCAGAUGCUGAUGAAUUCCAGGAUCAGCAGACAAUACAGCAGGCCACUAGCUCAAGUCCCAAG
Loxodonta africana (African savanna elephant) is the source of this 3724-nucleotide long non-coding RNA. RefSeq lists it as uncharacterized. The transcript has 3 exons. The record is from RefSeq and is a predicted model, not a curated record. NCBI's taxonomy places the organism in Eukaryota, Metazoa, Chordata, Mammalia, Proboscidea, Elephantidae.